Molecule: ribosomal RNA, 689 nt
Filed under: uncultured Actinobacteridae bacterium
Lineage: Bacteria; Bacillati; Actinomycetota; Actinomycetes
Description: bacterial SSU rRNA
Rfam family: Bacterial small subunit ribosomal RNA
Source: RNAcentral
GUGGCGAACGGGUGAGUAACACGUGAGUAACCUGCCCUUGACUCUGGGAUAAGCGUUGGAAACGACGUCUAAUACCGGAUACGAGCUAGGACCGCAUGGUCACUAGCUGGAAAGAACUUCGGUCAAGGAUGGACUCGCGGCCUAUCAGCUAGUUGGUGAGGUAACGGCUCACCAAGGCGACGACGGGUAGCCGGCCUGAGAGGGUGACCGGCCACACUGGGACUGAGACACGGCCCAGACUCCUACGGGAGGCAGCAGUGGGGAAUAUUGCACAAUGGGCGCAAGCCUGAUGCAGCAACGCCGCGUGAGGGACGACGGCCUUCGGGUUGUAAACCUCUUUUAGCAGGGAAGAAGCGCAAGUGACGGUACCUGCAGAAAAAGCACCGGCUAACUACGUGCCAGCAGCCGCGGUAAUACGUAGGGUGCAAGCGUUGUCCGGAAUUAUUGGGCGUAAAGAGCUCGUAGGCGGUCUGUCGCGUCUGCUGUGAAAACCCGAGGCUCAACCUCGGGCCUGCAGUGGGUACGGGCAGACUAGAGUGCGGUAGGGGAGAUUGGAAUUCCUGGUGUAGCGGUGGAAUGCGCAGAUAUCAGGAGGAACACCGAUGGCGAAGGCAGAUCUCUGGGCCGUAACUGACGCUGAGGAGCGAAAGCGUGGGGAGCGAACAGGAUUAGAUACCCUGGUAGUCCAC